UACGUAGGGACCAAGCGUUGUUCGGAUUUACUGGGCGUAAAGGGCGCGUAGGCGGCAAUUCAAGUCAGCUGUGAAAUCUCCGGGCUUAACUCGGAACGGUCAGCUGAUACUGCUUUGCUAGAGUGCAGAAAGGGCAAUCGGAAUUCUUGGUGUAGCGGUGAAAUGCGUAGAUAUCAAGAGGAACACCUGAGGCGAAGGCGGGUUGCUAGGCUGACACUGACGCUGAGGCGCGAAAGCUAGGGUAGCAAACGGG
RNAcentral lists this ribosomal RNA (253 nucleotides) under uncultured bacterium. RNAcentral describes it as "partial 16S ribosomal RNA". It matches the Rfam family "Bacterial small subunit ribosomal RNA", at positions 524 to 776 of the family's 1533-position model. The record is from RNAcentral.